Molecule: long non-coding RNA, 2979 nt
Organism: Dromaius novaehollandiae (emu)
Lineage: Eukaryota; Metazoa; Chordata; Aves; Casuariiformes; Dromaiidae
Exons: 3
Source: RefSeq, a predicted model, not a curated record
AUGCUCCGGCGACGCACCCAGGCAGCGGGGAAGCCGCUCGUGCCUCCGACCGCAUCCAGCCCUCGGGAGCCGCGCUCCGGGGCAGGGUGGCAGCUGCACCGCGUCGACCUGCUCCGGCGUGUCCUGCCACCUCUGCGCCCGCCGCCAGCCCCGGGGGCCGGGGAGCCUGGAGCUGCCAGGAAACGUGGCUGAUUCAAGCAGCGGGAAUGCAGACACCAGCGCUGCCUGGGCUGGGUUGUUUCUUUUUUUUUUUGCUCCUCCGCUAUAUCCCGCAAGCUGGCGGAAAGACCCGAAGCAAAGCCCCAGCUCGUAAAUCCUCGCCGCUGCCAGAGCCCGGAGGCUUUUCUUCCCUAUGUCAAAGCGGGUAAUCGAAUCCCCUCCAACACGUUUUUAAUUAGCAUCCUGCUCCAGCAUCCCGGCCCGACGCUGCUCAAAUCCCUGGGAAAGGCCGGGAUGCUCCCGGCAGCGGCAGACGUCGGCACACGGAGCCACUCAAGCCAAGAAGGGCCGGAGAGGAGCCCUUGGCCCGUGCGCCCGGUUUAGCCCAACGACCCGGUUGCCUUCAAUCCCGGUCGGGCUCGCGAGAAGGAUCAAACCCCGCACCGAAGAGGUAAAACUGGGAAUUAUACACGGAGGAAAAAAAGAAAUCUGGAAACCCCCUGUUGCAAUCCAGCGCAGGUUCCCUAAGGAGCAGAGCACCAGGCACGUGGGCUUUCCGUUGCUGCCGGUGGAGAAGCUUCAGCCCGGAGGACGUUUUUGGGUUCUCUGAAAGAGCUGUCUUCAGAUCUGGGCUAAAUUACGCCUCGGCAGGCUGUCAUUAAUCAGAAAAGGAGCAGGACAACUGGGUUCGUUUUGCAGCUGCCGUGACCCAUGGAGCUUCCUGCGGCGCUGCUUCACGCUCGCCGGGGAUCUGGCCACUGAACCAAAAGGCGUUUUUAAAAGGGAAAACAGCACCCUCGUGCCUGGGCUGGUGGUGCAUUUUGCAAAAACGGCAGGGCAUUUUGCAAAAUAUAUUUGCAACUACUCCCUUUUGACAUUUUUGAGGGGAAAAAAAAGAAAAGGAGCGAUAUCAUGGGCUGUCUUGUGCUCCAGCUUGCCCAGAUUUUUACACUGGGGUAAAACUGGGCUCCUUUAGGGUCUGCCUUACUGCUGCCUCCAAACGCCCCGGCUGGACCUGCAUGCGAGAGCCCGGCGUUGGCACCGGCCGAUGCUGGUAGCUGCGUAGAGCAGAGUGAGCCGCUAUCAAUUAUAGGGUGUUAUUUAAGGAAAGACGCAGCUUUUCCGUUGCUCAGCUCUCUGCGCUCGUUCCCGCUCGGCGGGAGGGCAGCGGUGGUUUCCAGCUUUAGCAAUAGUGAUUUCUUCCCUUUGGGGUUUCCGUGGCCCUUCCAAGGCAGGAGGAGCAACUGCGCUGAAACUGCUUUAAACCUUUAAACAGCAUCAGCUCACCCCUCACCCAGCGCCGUGAGUGAGCGCCGGGUGCCUACUGCCCCUCGGGCAACAUCCAGGCCUUUUCCCCCCUUUUUUUUCCCCCUUUCCUUUUUUCGAGUACCGGAAAGCCCAGCUAGGAUGCAAAGAGCCGUUCCCACGGCAUCCACGGUGAGCCGCAUCCCGACCCUGCUCCGGGGAGAGGGACUCCUUCUCCUGGCACCCAAGCUCUUGCAGUGGCAGUGGUGGGUUUCUUUCCCUUUUUUUUCUUUUCAGGGUUGUGAAACACUUCCACCGAAAACCACUUGGGAAAGCCCAAUCCAAACAAAGCCAUUAAAUUUCCCCAGCUCGGGCCGCCUCGGGCCCCCGCAUUGCCGGGGGGGAUUUCCCGCGGGACAGGCUCCUCGCACUGUGAUUCAGGGCCCGUCCGGUUCUCCUUGAGCCGAGCGGGGCACAAAUCCCCCGCUCGCGUUGCUAUUCUGCAAAACAGCUGCUGAUUUCUGCGUAAUCCCCCUCCAAACAGACAUGCCGAAAUUCCCCAAAAUUGGGUUUCUGCCAGGCCAGGCAAGAAGCUGCCCCGCUUCAUCUCUCCAGGCAGAGGGACUCCCGGCAGUCUGGUGAAACGCUCGGCCCUAGCGAGGGGCUUGCAGCUGAGCUGGGGGAAAAAAAAUUAAAUAUUUGGAUGGAUGAAAUGCAGAGGAGGGGGAAAAAUCCCUCCUGGAACAGGAUGGCCCCGAACGAUGUUUCUGGGUGCCGGGGAACGGCUGCAUCGCGGCGCGGCGCUGGGCUCCCGCACCUCUCGCGGACGGCAUUCCCGCGGCUCGGCCGCGCCGGCUCCCGGCUCCGUCGUCGGCUUUGCAUCCCGGGCGGCUGGAGAGCAGGGACGAAGGGGGAUCUCUCUAGCCCGGAGUUAAACCGUGCACGUGUAUAAUGAAGCACGGGCUGAGCAGCCCAGCAGCAAGCCAUGCUUUUUAUUAAAAGCCCGUGCUUUUUAUUAAAGACGUUUUUUAUUAAACGGGUCAAAAUUCCCACGAAUUUCCCCCCUCCCCAGGAAACACGCGCGCAGGGAAAUCAAAGCCGCCGGAGGCUCCAUCGAUGCCAGGACGGCGGCGGCUGCACGCGCGUUACGGAGCGGGCCGGCGGCAUCGGGGCUGAUGAAGGAGGAAAACAUCCCAAACACGUCCGUGCGGGUUUGGGCAAGCGCCAGGGCUGGGCCCGGAGGAGGCGGCUGGCGGGCGGCGGGGAACACGGAUCCGUCGCAGCUGUGGGGCCGGGGGGAGCAGGCAGGCUCGGCACGUCCCCCCCUUAUUGCUGCCACCUCCAAAGGCGCCAAGAAGGGGCUGAACCUUGCAGAAAGGAGGCCAGAAAGGAGAAAUCCCCAUUGCUUUGCCAGCGGCAUUGCCCCUCGCCGGUCCCUCUCCAGAGCCGCAGCAGCGGGGAUGGAGUCGCUGGUGCUCGCUGCACCGGGCGCCCGCUCGAAUCCCGACGGCUGCCCCCAUGCAAGUGCCCAGCAUCACAUUUUCAAGCUCGUGAAAAGGAAAAAUAAAAAUAAUG